Lepisosteus oculatus (spotted gar) is the source of this 1095-nucleotide non-coding RNA. Lineage: Eukaryota; Metazoa; Chordata; Actinopteri; Semionotiformes; Lepisosteidae. The record is from RefSeq and is a predicted model, not a curated record.
AAUUAUUUUUGUCAUUACUCUGACUCUCAGCUAAAUUAUGAGUCUAAAGUAUAUGCUGGUUCCCUAAACUCUGCCCUGUUUAGAGAAGGCAUCCGCAGGGAAAGAUGUUUCAGUCACGCCGCUUCAGAAUUUCACUGUUCGCAAGGUACUGUGUAGUUUCCGGCAUUCAGAAUAAUUUUUUAUUUUUCGUUAGAGGAAGAGCUGGCGACUCCACCAUUGGACGGGGUCAUUUUACCUGGUGUUACUCGACAGAGUAUUAUUGAGCUCUGCCAAAAGUGGGGCGAAUUUAAAGUGUCAGAGCGUUACCUAACCAUGGCAGACCUGUUGACUGCUCUGAGAGAGGAGCGAGUGAAGGAGAUGUUCGGCUCUGGAACGGCCUGUGUAGUGUGCCCAGUGGGACGCAUACUGUACCAGGAAGAAAAUUUGCAUAUCCCUACUAUGGAUAAUGGACCAAAGUUGGCAACAAGAAUACUGAAGCAGCUCACAGACAUCCAAUAUGGUAGAGUUCCGAGUGACUGGACAAACAUGGUGUAGUGAAGAUGGAGGAGGCUGGGCUGAGUUCUCUCACACGUGUACUGUAUGCACUUCUGCUGAGCACAGUGCUGAAACAUUCAGCCAAAAGCACAAUGCUACAUACUACACACAGUAGGGUAGUUUUGUUAACUUUAACCUGAAAAUACAGUGGAUUUCCUCAAAGUGAUGUUACAGUAGAUGUAGUUUGGUAUAUAAUAGUUGUAACAUGAAGGCCAUAUGCAGUUCCUCCAAUUUUACCUGUUUAAGACACAUGUAGAAUGAGAUUACCUGGUGAAACUGAUUAAAAGUAGAUUUAACAUGAAACAAAAUCAAAAACGAAAUCUGAAAAGUAUCAUGGGUAAAAGGAAUAAGUGCUGAGAAUCAGUUUACAUUUUUUGUAGAGUAUCAGACAUCUUGUGUAUCAUAAAAGUUUAUAACAAUAAGUAAUAAUUUUAUUCUGCCAGAAUUCUGUGUACUUGUUUCAUCCCUGGUCUUAGGCAGUGGGGAGCCAGUUAAGUAAAGGCUCUUCUAAAGAUGGAUUUGAAGGAGUUUAGAGAAGGUGACUCUCUGAUAUCCUUGGGC